GAUGAACGCUGGCGGCGUGCCUAAUACAUGCAAGUAGAACGCUAAAGGAGUAGCUUGCUCUUCUGGAUGAGUUGCGAACGGGUGAGUAACGCGUAGGUAACCUGCCUGGUAGCGGGGGAUAACUAUUGGAAACGAUAGCUAAUACCGCAUGACAACAGUUAUUGCAUGAUAACUGUUUAAAAGGGGCAACUGCUCCGCUACCAGAUGGACCUGCGUUGGAUUAGCUUGUUGGUGUGGUAACGGCUCACCAAGGCGACGAUACAUAGCCGACCGGAGAGGGUGAGCGGCCACACUGGGAGGGAGACACGGCCCAGAGGCCUACGGGAAGCGGCAGUAGGGAAUCGUGGGCAAGGGACGGAAGACUGAGCGAGCAAGGCCGCGUGAGUGAAGAAGGUUUUCGGGUCGGAAAGCUCGGUUGUAAGGGAAGAACGAGUGUGAGAGUGGAAAGUUCACACUGUGACGGUAACUGAUCAGAAAGGGACGGCUAACUACGUG
RNAcentral lists this ribosomal RNA (495 nucleotides) under uncultured bacterium. RNAcentral's name for it is "partial 16S ribosomal RNA". It matches the Rfam family "Bacterial small subunit ribosomal RNA", at positions 28 to 507 of the family's 1533-position model. The record is from RNAcentral.